This 1671-nucleotide long non-coding RNA is filed under the name Salmo salar (Atlantic salmon). Its description in RNAcentral is "lncRNA (ENSSSAG00000101865.1)". The record is from RNAcentral. Lineage: Eukaryota; Metazoa; Chordata; Actinopteri; Salmoniformes; Salmonidae.
AGAGAGAACAGUCUAUGGGCUUGGGUGGCAAGAAAUAGACUUUAUCGAAAGUGUGAUCUACUAGGCUAUCUGGACCACCCUCUGUAGCGCCAUGCAAACAAGGCCGGUGUUGUUGGUCUAACAUUUUGAGGAUGUGAGAGCCCACGCAAAACCUUGUCAACUUCAUGAGGGGGGAAGAGGGGCUGGCCAUGCCUUCUUCACGACUGUUCGCGUGUGAGUGGACAAUUUUAAGUCAUUAGUGAUUUGGACAAAGAAGAACUUGAUGUUCUCGACCCGCUGCACUGCAGAACCGUCGAUGUGUCCUGCCACCACACUGCCAGGUCACUGACCCUCUCCCUGUAGGCUGUCUCAUCGUCCCUGUAGGCUGUCCCAUCGUCCCUGUAGGCUGUCUCAUCGUCCCUGUAGGCUGUCCCAUCGUCCCUGUAGGCUGUCCCAUCGUCCCUGUAGGCUGUCCCAUCGUCCCUGUAGGCUGUCUCAUUGUCCCUGUAGACUGUCCCAUCGUCCCUGUAGGCUGUCCCAUCGUCCCUGUAGGCUGUCUCAUCGUCCCUGUAGGCUGUCCCAUCGUCCCUGAAGGCUGUCUCAUCGUCCCUGAAGGCUGUCUCAUCGUCCCUGAAGGCUGUCCCAUCGUCCCUGAAGGCUGUCCCAUCGUCCCAUUAGGCUGUCCCAUCCUCCCUGUAGGCUGUCCCAUCGGCCCUGUAGGCUGUCUCAUCGUCCCUGUAGGUUGUCUUGUCCUCUCUGUAGCCUGUCUCAUCGUCCCGGUAGGCUGUCCCAUCGUCCCUGUAGCCUGUCUCAUCGUCCCUGUAGCCUGUCUCAUCGUCCCGGUAGGCUGUCCCAUCCUCCCUGUAGCCUGUCUCAUCUUCCCUGUAGACUGUCCCAUCGUCCCUGUAGGCUGUCUCAUCCUCCCUGUACUCUGUCUCAUCGUCUCUGUAGGCUGUCUCAUCCUGCCUGUAGGCUGUCUCAUCCUGCCUGUAGCCUGUCUCAUCGUCUCUGUAGGCUGUCUCAUCGUCCCUGUAGGCUGUCUCAUCUUCCCUGUAGGCUGUCCCAUCCUCCCUGUAGGCUGUCUCAUCUUCCCUGUAGGCUGUCUCAUCUUCCCUGUAGGCUGUCCCAUCCUCCCUGUAGCCUGUCUCAUCGUCCCUGUAGCCUGUCUCAUCGUCCAGGGGGAAGGUAAGGAAAGGUAAGCUCUCUUUCCACACCAGCAGCCGGGGCCGUAAUGUAGACCUAAAGCAGGUUCUGAAUAGGGAAAUAGAAUGUGAUCUGUACUCUAUAUCACUAUACAGUCCUAGUUGCAAGCAUUCUAUGUUCUCUGACUGGGACACAGCCCUUAUUUCCUUCAUCACCGUGGUGACAGCUGGUUUCCAGAGCAAUCUUUCUUUUGUCAUGUCAAGCUCAUCCUCCUAUCUUUUUUUUUUUGUUUCCUCCUAGAGGCCUCAUCUCUCUCUCUCUCUCUCCUGCCCAUUCUUCCCCUCUCUCUCUGUCUCUCUCUCCUGCCCAUUCUUCCCCUCUCUCUCUGUCUCUCUCUCUCCUGCCCAUUCUUCCCCUCUCUCUGUGUCUCUCUCUCUCCUGCCCAUUCUUCCCCUCUCUCUCUGUCUCUCUCUCGACCCCAUCUUUCCCUUUUCCUCGCCCCCUCGCCCCCUCUCUUCCCCCUUUCUCCCUCCCAUCUCCCUCCCCCAC